ACAAUCUCCAUUGCCAUAACCACUAACAUCAAAUACAAAUUAAGAAGUUGGUUCUUCCAUUGAAGCAUGUGGACCUAAUUUCAACUGGAGUCUAUACGAGGAGCUGAGUAGAGAUAUUGAUUAGAAGCAUCAGGCAAUUGAAGUUAAGACCUCCAAGUGCCACAUCCAUGGCUUUUUGACAGCUUUCUGGUAUCAACAGAAUAUUUAAAAACAAUUGGAGAUCUAAGGGAAGAAUUUGCAGAUCCAAGAAGAUAUACUGGGUUCUCACUGGAUUCAAUAGGGUGUCCUGGAAUUCCCUUGUUCAUCCAUAUGUGUCCCUACAACCAAAAAGACAUUGCU
Molecule: long non-coding RNA, 339 nt
Organism: Chinchilla lanigera (long-tailed chinchilla)
Lineage: Eukaryota; Metazoa; Chordata; Mammalia; Rodentia; Chinchillidae
Exons: 3
Source: RefSeq, a predicted model, not a curated record